CGCCAAUUGUUUUAGGCAAAAUUAAAACUACCUCUACAACUGCCCUUACUACGAUUAAUCUUUACAGACUAUGCCAUGGCUAUUGGAUUCGACGAGCGACACCAUUACUUGCUGGGGGUUCUUUGUCCUCCGACAAUUGCAAUAGGGCGAUGAUGCUAUGAAACUGCGGUGGUUUCGCCAGAUUGGAGAUUAAAAAUCAGGGAACAAGUUUUCAAAUCUUUACUCUUUGCUGAUUUUGCAGUGAAAACAACUUCUAGCAAUUUCAGAGAAAGGCUUUUGAGUUCCACUUGACACACAUACACACACUCUCUCUCUCUACUGGUAAAGGAAGUGGCUUUGGGAUCCUAACCCACUCAUCUUAUCCAAUUUACGCUGCCCAUCUCUCGAAAUCCCCAGGUUUCUACCGUCUGCUAUUUUCUUCGACGCAAUCCCCUAAUUUCAAGGUCGUGGAAGCGGUGAGAUUUGAUGGCUUGAUAAUGGAUAGUGUGGAAUUAUUAUAGAGAGGGAGAAAGUUUAUGGUGUGCACUAUCCCUUAUCAGGAUUCUGAGGUAAAGCACAAUAAUUUAUUUUCAUUUAUAUAUCUGGGAAUUGGUGUUUCGUUGAAGAGGCUGCUGCAGACUUUCUGUUUUGAAGUCAAGAGAGAAGUUUCUCAUCUUUUUCCAAACAAUUUUUGUUUGUUUGCAUCUGAGUUCAUUCUGAGAAUCUUAGAACCAUAUAAUUUUGGAUUUCGACUGCAUAUGGGCUCUCCUUUGGAGCUUCAAAUGUUGUAAGCCAUGGGAGAGUGGAUCAUUGGAGGUUUCAUCAAUCUAUUUGACAAGAUUGCCAUUAACUUUGGGACUAACCUUCUUAAAUUGGGUCACACUGAGACAUCAACUGCGAUACCUUCACAUCUUCACAUCAUGUAAUGAGCUUCAAUGAAUCUGGCUAAAUUAUAUUCACAGAGAGAGGCAUUCUACUCUAGACACUGAUGGAACUAGUGGGAAGAGUCAUUUGAAGCCUAUCAUAUACUUUCAGACUUGGAGAGAUGGUAAAUUCUUGUCUUAGGCUGUCUUAAAUUAUUUGGAGGAAUUCUCUUAUAUAAUAAAGGUGACAUAACUUGUAUUGUUCACCUUGAAUAUUUGAUAUUUGUUGUGCAGGUAUUCUAUUUUUCUUUCUUGGAAAUUGCCUUAAUUUCAUUUUCUUUGGAUAUGCUGCUCAGGUCCGUGUGGAUUAGGUCUGAGCAGAAUUCGGUUCAAACCGAAAAAUCAAACCGAACCGAGUCAAUUCGGUUCAAUCAAUUUGAUUUUAAAAUUCAAUCAGUUCAGUUCAAUUUUACAUUAUAAAAAUUUCGAUUAUCUCAGUUUAGUUCGGUUUUGAAGAGAAAAAAAUCGGUUAAACCGAAUCAAACCGAAUAGUAAUUUAUAUAUUCAAAUCAAACCAAAUCGAAUCGAAUUAAUUUUUGAAUUGAUUUAUUUUUAUGGAAAAUUUAUGAAUUACAUUUAAUUUUAUAUAUAUUAAUUAUUUAAUUUCAUUGAUUAAUGGUUAUUAGGUUCAAACCAAAGUCAAAAUUAGACUAAAUAACUUAAAAAUCAAGUCUAAAUUAAAAAAUCAAUCAAAAAUCAAAACCGAUCGGUUUAAACAAAACCAAACCGAAAUAGAGCAGUUCGAUUCGAUUCAGUUUUUCACCCAUUUCGAUUCGGUUCGGUUCGGUUUCUAAAAUUUAAAAUUCAAUUUUUAUAAUUUAAUUCAGUUCGAUUUGAUUCGAUUCGGUUUGAACCGAAUGCUCACCCCUAGUGUGGAUAAUAUAUUGCUAGGGGCUGCAUACACAUAUAAGUUUUAUCAUUUACCCUUUUUUCUUUCUUGAUGACCAAUCCAGUUCAUACCUUGCAUGAUUGGACAACACAUCGGUGAUAAACAUCUCUUUCCUUUCUUGAACCCUAUUAGUUCCAGCUCAGCUAUACGGAUAUAUAAAAGAACCUCUACUGUAUUUCUUUUCAGAUGUGGCAAUUACAAUUUCUUUUCACCAAAUACAAGUUUUAUCACAUGCUCUAUUUUUCUUCUUUAGAUUACUCUAUUUUCUGCUGCUCUAAUUAUGCUGCCUUUUCCAGGAUCUUUUCUCUAUAGCUAAUGUUGCUGAACAGCAUGAAGUAUGGGAUUUCCUAUUUGUUUCCUCCAAGAAUUACUCCUUUGGGAAAUCUUCCUCAGUUAUAUGAACUCUGGCAGAGAAAUGUCAAGAGCCAUGGUCUAGCAUAAUCUAGUCAAAGUAGGAGUCACUUCCAUCAUAUACAAGGUAUUCUUUGUAGCAAUGCAUCAUUGACAGCAAAGGGCUCACCUAUAGAAGUUGCAGGUAAAUUUUGAACUUAAGCUGCUAUGGCAUGAUUAAUAUGGUGAGUUUUUCUGCUUUCUUUGCAUUCUAUGAAGGCUGCUGCUACUCAAUUAUUCUGAAAGGCAGCCAUCCAUGUGUACUGGGGGCAAUGCACCAUGACUGCCCUGCUUGUUUUGAGGUAGAUUAUAACUCUCUUACCUCUUUUCAUGGCUAUUAUAGAAGUGCAUUUGGACAAUGGCUAGCACCUAACUCUGCAAUUACAAUUCAAAUGAU
This is a long non-coding RNA of Hevea brasiliensis (rubber tree), 2578 nucleotides long. RefSeq lists it as uncharacterized. The record is from RefSeq and is a predicted model, not a curated record. The transcript has 6 exons. NCBI's taxonomy places the organism in Eukaryota, Viridiplantae, Streptophyta, Magnoliopsida, Malpighiales, Euphorbiaceae.